Molecule: ribosomal RNA, 225 nt
Filed under: uncultured bacterium
Lineage: Bacteria
Description: partial 16S ribosomal RNA
Rfam family: Bacterial small subunit ribosomal RNA
Source: RNAcentral
GAGCAUGGCUCAGGAUGAACGCUAGCGACAGGCUUAACACAUGCAAGUCGAGGGGCAGCAUGAUUUGUAGCAAUACAGAUUGAUGGCGACCGGCGCACGGGUGAGUAACGCGUAUGCAACUUACCUAUCAGAGGGGGGAUAGCCCGGCGAAAGUCGGAUUAAUACCCCAUAAAACAGGGUCCCGCAUGGGAAUAUUUGUUAAAGAUUCAUCGCUGAUAGAUAGGC